AGUCGAACGCGAAAGUCCCCUUCGGGGGAUAAGUAGAGUGGCGCACGGGUGAGUAACACGUAGGUAAUCUACCUUCGGGUGGGGAAUAACCCAGGGAAACUUGGGCUAACACCGCAUAAUGCAGCGGCACCACAUGGUGACAGUUGUUAAAGCGGGGGAUUUUAGGACCUCGCGCCUGAAGAGGAGCCUGCGGCAGAUUAGCUUGUUGGUAAGGUAACGGCUUACCAAGGCGACGAUCUGUAGCCGGCCUGAGAGGGCGGUCGGCCACACUGACACUGACAUACGGGUCAGACUCCUACGGGAGGCAGCAGUCGGGAAUUUUGGGCAAUGGGCGAAAGCCUGACCCAGCAACGCCGCGUGAAGGAUGAAAUCCCUCGGGAUGUAAACUUCGCAAGAAUGGGAAGAAUUAGUAGGGGUUAAUACCCCCUAUGAUGACGGUACCAUUUGUAAGCUCCGGCUAACUCCGUGCCAGCAGCCGCGGUAAUACGGGGGGAGCAAGCGUUGUUCGGAUUUACUGGGCGUAAAGGGCGCGUAGGCGGCCAGCACAAGUCGGUUGUGAAAUCUCCGGGCUUAACUCGGAAAGGUCAACCGAUACUGUGCGGCUAGAGUGCGGAAGGGGCAACUGGAAUUCUCGGUGUAGCGGUGAAAUGCGUAGAUUUCGAGAGGAACACCUGCGGCGAAGGCGGGUUGCUGGGCCGACACUGACGCUGAUGCGCGAAAGCCAGGGGAGCGAACGGGAUUAGAUACCCCGGUAGUCCUGGCCUUAAACGAUGGAUGCUUGGUGUCUGGAGUUUUAUAGUCUCCGGGUGCCGUAGCUAACGCGUUAAGCA
RNAcentral lists this ribosomal RNA (830 nucleotides) under uncultured bacterium. RNAcentral's name for it is "bacterial SSU rRNA". It matches the Rfam family "Bacterial small subunit ribosomal RNA", at positions 60 to 866 of the family's 1533-position model. The record is from RNAcentral.